CACAGUAGGUGAACCUGCGGUAGGAUCAUU
This 30-nucleotide ribosomal RNA is filed under the name Hesperocyparis arizonica. RNAcentral describes it as "partial 18S rRNA". The record is from RNAcentral. Lineage: Eukaryota; Viridiplantae; Streptophyta; Pinopsida; Cupressales; Cupressaceae.